RNAcentral lists this non-coding RNA (100 nucleotides) under uncultured Sporolactobacillus sp. RNAcentral describes it as "SAM riboswitch (S box leader)". It matches the Rfam family "SAM riboswitch aptamer (S box leader)". From Rfam's summary of the family: The SAM riboswitch is found upstream of a number of genes which code for proteins involved in methionine or cysteine biosynthesis in Gram-positive bacteria. The SAM riboswitch acts at the level of transcription termination control. The record is from RNAcentral. Lineage: Bacteria; Bacillati; Bacillota; Bacilli; Caryophanales; Sporolactobacillaceae.
UCUUAUCGAGAGUGGCGGAGGGACUGGCCCUGCGAAGCCCGACAACCAGCACGCGCGUGUAUGGUGUUAAUUCCAGCAGAUUAAAUUCUGGCAGAUAAGA